UACGUAGGGUGCGAGCGUUAAUCGGAAUUACUGGGCGUAAAGCGUGCGCAGGCGGUUUUGUAAGCCAGAUGUGAAAUCCCCGGGCUCAACCUGGGAAUGGCAUUUGGGACUGCAAGGCUUGAGUGCGGCAGAGGAGACUGGAAUUCCUGGUGUAGCAGUGAAAUGCGUAGAUAUCAGGAGGAAUACCGAUGGCGAAGGCAGGUCUCUGGGCUGACACUGACGCUCAUGCACGAAAGCGUGGGGAGCAAACAGG
This 253-nucleotide ribosomal RNA is filed under the name uncultured bacterium. RNAcentral describes it as "partial 16S ribosomal RNA". It matches the Rfam family "Bacterial small subunit ribosomal RNA", at positions 524 to 776 of the family's 1533-position model. The record is from RNAcentral.